Cyprinodon variegatus (sheepshead minnow) is the source of this 182-nucleotide small nuclear RNA. Its record names the gene U2. It matches the Rfam family "U2 spliceosomal RNA". Rfam says of the family: U2 is a small nuclear RNA (snRNA) component of the spliceosome (involved in pre-mRNA splicing). The record is from Ensembl. NCBI's taxonomy places the organism in Eukaryota, Metazoa, Chordata, Actinopteri, Cyprinodontiformes, Cyprinodontidae.
AUCCUGUCUGUGAAAGUCUAUGUGUAGUAUCUGUUCUUAUCAGUUUAAUAUCUGAUAUGUCACCUAUCCGGGGACCAUAUAAUAAAUAGUUUUUUAGAACAGGGAACUGGAACAAGGGCUUGCUCUGUCCACUCUACGCAUCAACCUGGUAUUGCAGAACUUCAAAGAAUGGUGCACUAAAA